GUCGAACGGCAGCACGGGUGCUUGCACCUGGUGGCGAGUGGCGAACGGGUGAGUAAUGCGUCGGAACGUACCGAGUAAUGGGGGAUAACGCAGCGAAAGUUGUGCUAAUACCGCAUACGCCCUGAGGGGGAAAGUGGGGGAUCGCAAGACCUCACGUUAUUCGAGCGGCCGACGUCUGAUUAGCUAGUUGGUGGGGUAAAGGCCUACCAAGGCGACGAUCAGUAGCGGGUCUGAGAGGAUGAUCCGCCACACUGGGACUGAGACACGGUCCAGACUCCUACGGGAGGCAGCAGUGAGGAAUAUUGCACAAUGGAGGAAACUCUGAUGCAGCAACGCCGCGUGGAGGAUGACGCAUUUCGGUGUGUAAACUCCUUUUAUUAGGGAAGAUAAUGACGGUACCUAAUGAAUAAGCACCGGCUAACUCCGUGCCAGCAGCCGCGGUAAUACGGAGGGUGCAAGCGUUACUCGGAAUCACUGGGCGUAAAGGGUGCGUAGGCUGGCUUUUAAGUCAGGUGUGAAAUCCAAUGGCUCAACCAUUGAACUGCACUUGAAACUGAAAGCCUAGAGUUCAGAAGGGGCAGAUGGAAUUAGUGGUGUAGGGGUAAAAUCCGUAGAUAUCACUAGGAAUAUCAAAAGCGAAGGCGAUCUGCUGGGAUGAUACUGACGCUGAGGCACGAAAGCGUGGGGAGCAAACAGGAUUAGAUA
Molecule: ribosomal RNA, 705 nt
Filed under: uncultured bacterium
Lineage: Bacteria
Description: bacterial SSU rRNA
Rfam family: Bacterial small subunit ribosomal RNA
Source: RNAcentral